Molecule: long non-coding RNA, 986 nt
Organism: Pan troglodytes (chimpanzee)
Lineage: Eukaryota; Metazoa; Chordata; Mammalia; Primates; Hominidae
Exons: 3
Source: RefSeq, a predicted model, not a curated record
AGGCAUUUAAUGAAGCUUCCUUGCAUAGCUCCCCAAUUAGAAGAGGAUCUGCUAGAGAUGGAUUAUUUUUAAUCGAAUGACAAUUGAUAGUUGGGAACUGGUCACAGGUACAAAGACUCACAGGACACAGGAUUUUGUAUAUUACUGAUGGAUGCAGUGUGAAUUGUGGAUGCUGCAUACUUAAACUUGGUUGAGCCAACUUAAAACAACAACAACAACACAUUCUUUCCAGCCUACUUCCAUGCCAUACUACUACAGCAGCUUUCAAGAUGAACAUUUGACAAGCCAGCUCACCGCCGACUGACACCUCCAUUUCAGCUGGCCUGACAUAUAUAGAAAGAAACUGAAUGUUUAUUCGUGUGCUUUCCGGAUUUGACAUAUGUGCUAUAUAAGAGUCACAGAAGGAAACUUCAGAAAAGAAAUUAGGAGUGUACUUGUCAGUUUAUUAAUCAAAGUUUACCUGCUUCACAUUACACAGAGACAAAUUAAGCUGGCUACUAUGGUGCUUCAAAAACAUCUGCUAACAAAGUCAGAAGUAAUGAUAAACAAACGAGUUCCCUUUGUGGUUGAUUUUCAUCCAGCUGCAUUUAAUUAUAAUAGCACUAUCAAAGAAAGCUCCCCAUUAGUUGCUAAUUCAGAAUGACUUCAGAAGAAACUCCCAAAGCCUCCAGUGAUAUUCCUCCAACUCCAACAACUUCCUAAUCUCUGCCAAUGUUUAUGGAGAGCCAUAUUAAAGAACUUUGGUUAUCAGUCCUAACUCAUGGACUGCCAAAGUGGUAUUUGUUGUUUUUUUCUAAAGACCACCUUUGUAAUAAUGUGACCAAUUAAAUUUUUUAAAUGACAAAAUUUAUAACUUUAGAAUUAGAUAAUAAAAUGCUUCAAAAAGGUAAGGAGAAGUCUUAUUUUAAUGCAUAGUACAAGUAAAAUGCAAGCCCAGUCAUGUAAUUCAUCAGUUUACAUUCACCAUAGCUAGACAUAAAGUGACA